GACGAACGCUGGCGGCGUGCUUAACACAUGCAAGUCGAGCGGUAAGGCCCUUUCGGGGGUACACGAGCGGCGAACGGGUGAGUAACACGUGGGUGACCUGCCCUCAACUCUGGGAUAAGCCUGGGAAACCGGGUCUAAUACUGGAUAUGACUCCAUGACGCAUGUUGUGGGGUGGAAAGCCUUGUGCGGCUGAGGAUGGGCCCGCGGCCUAUCAGCUUGUUGGUGGGGUGAUGGCCUACCAAGGCGACGACGGGUAGCCGGCCUGAGAGGGCGACCGGCCACACUGGGACUGAGACACGGCCCAGACUCCUACGGGAGGCAGCAGUGGGGAAUCUUGCGCAAUGGGCGAAAGCCUGACGCAGCGACGCCGCGUGAGGGAUGACGGCCUGUGU
This 392-nucleotide ribosomal RNA is filed under the name uncultured bacterium. Its description in RNAcentral is "bacterial SSU rRNA". It matches the Rfam family "Bacterial small subunit ribosomal RNA", at positions 28 to 421 of the family's 1533-position model. The record is from RNAcentral.